Bombus impatiens (common eastern bumble bee) is the source of this 1286-nucleotide long non-coding RNA. RefSeq lists it as uncharacterized. The transcript is spliced from 2 exons. The record is from RefSeq and is a predicted model, not a curated record. Lineage: Eukaryota; Metazoa; Arthropoda; Insecta; Hymenoptera; Apidae.
GGCACUACGUUUCCCUGAUUGCCUCCGACGAAUGUGGUCUCCGCGACCGAUAUCGGCGGUAAUAAUGUGCGUAGAGAGCUCCUGCUGGGAACAUGCCAUCUUACGGGACAGCCAAAGAAAUGAACUUACUACGGGUGGAGGGCUUGCGCACCCUUCGGUCAUGGCGUGCUCGUGAUACAUGAAACUGUGUAGCAGAGUGUUGUUCGGGUGGAGGCCGGCUGCUGAAGCUUCCGCCGCGCCUCCCAGUCCUCCCAACCCUCCCAACCCUGCCAGGCUUCCCCCGCCACCCUCCGAAAGCUGGAACGUAGCGUACGGCGAGAUGUCCUCCGCUGUCUCUGUAACCCACCAGAGGCAUUGCCUACCUUUCAAAUCGCGUUGGGAUGAAUUUUUUAUGUGAGAAUCGAUUUUUAUCUGCUUUACUAUAGAAUGAUUUUACUUUCAUUUUGUAAUUUCUCUGUUACAAUUUCUAACGUGAACUAUGAUUCUUGAGAAGCAACUGGUUUCUUGAGGAGAAUAUCACGAGACUAUCAUCAUCAAUCAAACGCAGCUCUGAAUUUUUUGGUUUAUUCUGUUAAUAAAUGUUUUUGAAUGUAUAGAAUAAAAUAUCCAAUAAUGUAACUACAAUAAUAUUCUUUUAUAUCAGAAUACAUUUUUUUAUAAUAUUCUCCUGAGAGCAGAAUUGACUACAAAUCUCUCUAAUGAGUUCUCGUCACUAUUAAUUUAGAAAUUUUAGUGAUAUCUUAAGUGAUACAGUUUCUAAAAAGUUACAGAGGGUGGUCGAUGAAGGCAGAAGCAAUGCAUGAUGAAGUGUCGAAUGAAAUAUGCAGUGGAACACGAGUGAAACAUUCAAGAUCGGUCGCAUAAAGGGUAAAAAGAAAAAAGACGAUGAUCUAUGGUGAUGAAAGGAAGAUGUAAAAUAAUCCACCUUUGCUUUGUGAACUGCAAUCGAACGCUAACGGGUCUGCCCACUUUGGUUGAACAGCGCUACGCGUGCGAUUUUCUUUUACCUGAACAACAAUUAUAGUACCAAACCUGGCUGUCGUCCGUAUCGUAACAAAGGUUCACCUGGAAUCUUGUCGGGCCCUCCACCCGUAUUCGCCGCUUGUUGUAAAGCCACCUUGUGAAUCGUCGCGUAGUAACGCUCUCUUUGAGUUUCGGCAUUCUGUUGAUUCUCUUGAGUCUCUUUCAUGGGACGCUGCAUUCUGUCUCCGAGAUAUCCUUAUAUAUAAAUAGAAAUAAAAUAUGUAUGUACCCUGUAUGAAUAAAUAGGAUUUAUUUACAAUAUA